RNAcentral lists this transfer-messenger RNA (356 nucleotides) under Treponema sp. It matches the Rfam family "transfer-messenger RNA". Rfam says of the family: Bacterial tmRNA, also known as 10Sa RNA or SsrA, is named for its dual tRNA and mRNA-like properties. Its role is to liberate the mRNA from a stalled ribosome. The record is from RNAcentral. Lineage: Bacteria; Pseudomonadati; Spirochaetota; Spirochaetia; Treponematales; Treponemataceae.
GGGGGUGUACCGGUUUCGACUGUUACGGUUUGGGUUGUAGGUUGCAGAUGGAGUGUCGAUCUCCUGAUUCGACAAAAAUUAUAAUUGCCAAUUAUAAUGACAAUUAUGCUCUCGCUGCUGCUUAAGCAGUGAAGCCGGGAACCAGUACCGCUGCUUUGAGGUGCUGAAUUUCCUGUCGCAAUCAAAGCUGGAUACAUAGCGAGUCUGAGCGCUAUGGAUUGAGAAAUUUCAGAAUACGGGUUAAACCGCAUGCCGUGAAGCCACGUUUAGCUCGACAAUCUUAAUACACGGCUAAAUCUGUAGAGAUCUACGGUUCACGUAGUAGGACGCGGGUUCGACUCCCGCCACCUCCAUUG